GGGGUUGUGGUUCAGUGGUAGAGCGCUUGCCUGGCAUGUGUGAGGCACUGGGUUCAAUUCUCAGCACCA
This 69-nucleotide transfer RNA is filed under the name Ictidomys tridecemlineatus (thirteen-lined ground squirrel). Its description in RNAcentral is "Spermophilus tridecemlineatus (thirteen-lined ground squirrel) tRNA". It matches the Rfam family "tRNA". From Rfam's summary of the family: Transfer RNA (tRNA) molecules are approximately 80 nucleotides in length. Lineage: Eukaryota; Metazoa; Chordata; Mammalia; Rodentia; Sciuridae. The record is from Rfam by way of RNAcentral.